AUUGAACGCUGGCGGCAUGCCUUACACAUGCAAGUCGAACGGCAGCACGGGGGCAACCCUGGUGGCGAGUGGCGAACGGGUGAGUAACAUAUCGGAACAUACCCUAGAGUGGGGGAUAACGUAGCGAAAGUUACGCUAAUACCGCAUACGAUCUAAGGAUGAAAGUGGGGGAUCUUCGGACCUCAUGCUCAUGGAGUGGCCGAUAUCUGAUUAGCUAGUUGGUGAGGUAAAGGCUCACCAAGGCGACGAUCAGUAGCUGGUUUGAGAGAACGACCAGCCACACUGGAACUGAGACACGGUCCAGACUCCUACGGGAGGCAGCAGUGGGGAAUUUUGGGACAAUGGGGGCAACCCUGAUCCAGCAAUGCCGCGUGAGUGAAGAAGGCCUU
This 389-nucleotide ribosomal RNA is filed under the name uncultured bacterium. RNAcentral describes it as "bacterial SSU rRNA". It matches the Rfam family "Bacterial small subunit ribosomal RNA", at positions 30 to 418 of the family's 1533-position model. The record is from RNAcentral.